CUUAAUAAAGUAGACAUGUUUGCAAAUUCUAUACAUCUCCCUUAGAGGCAGACUUGUAAUUGUCACUUUACUUUUGACAGUCUUGUCUUUAGUUAUGUAUUUUCUCAUUUUAUUCUUGGGUAAUUGUUUGUAUUUGGGAGAACACCUCAUUUCUUACUGUUGCAAGCAUGAUUUUUCCACCAUCACCUUCUCUCAACUGGAAGCAUCUAUGCUGUGGGCUCUUGGAGCCUUGAAAUGGCACCGAAAAAAAAUCAAAUAUUUGUAGAGAAAUUCAUAACCCCACAGAAGGGUACUUUUCAUAGGAAGGUCCUUAUGUAGUAGUGGAACUUAGAUUUCUUUAUGAUUUUUGGUUUUGACUACUUGCUGUAUAGAGAAAAUGUCUUCAUCUGAAGACAUGAAGGGAGCUUCUGUUAGUACUAGAUCCGAUCCAUGCAUCCAAUGAUUCUCAAAACCAUAUAGCAUAUAGUGGACACUUAAUCCCUGAUGCUUCCUUAACCUGCCAAGUUGCCUUUUAGUCAGUUUAUUUAUUUAUUUAUUUUUAAAUCUAUAAAUUAAAAACAGUGCUGUGAACCACUAUCUAUCACUGAUUUUUGGAUUUAUUAAAUGGGCAGAACUAAGCACAUGCUGCAUGAGAUGGAAAAGUCCCAAACUGAGUUGUGGGUGAGAUUGGUUUCUUACAAACCCAAUGUUAAUUCGGGUGAGCUUCAAACACUAUCCAUUAGUUCUACUACAAUUUGAUCUUCACAUGGAAAUGGCUCUAUCCACUUCUUCAGUUACUGGUAAGUUGAAUUAGGGAAUGUUUGUAAUCUUUUGUGCAUAGUAGUGGAAGAAGAAUGGGUUGGACCUAAUGGAUGGUCCAAGUAAGUGACAUGCUCAUGAGGCCAAAUGUUACCGUGUAUGGGAAGGUUUCUAUACACUUCGCCCACUAAAUCAUUUCUCUUUAGGAAAUUGUGAAAGAGGAAUAUGGCAUGUAAAGACCAAGGUAUUAAAAAGUAGUUAUGUGUAAUGGCCGCUACAUUGUUACAUAAAACCCUUUCUUUUAGACGGUUGCUCUGCUCUCUUCAUUAAACUGUUUUGGUUUGUACUUGAAAAGCAAGCUGCUUUUAUUCUUGUCAUGAAUGAUUUGUUUGGAUGCACACAGUUGUACUAUCUUGUUGUACGUUGUUAAUCCAAAAUCUUAAAUCUUUCUAUUUGUAGUACAUUGCAGAUAACAAUCUUGAGAACAACCCAUGGCAUGGAUUUGAUGAGUAGUCACUCAAGAUAAAAACCAAUGCGCUUGAAUGAAGUUCUGAAAAUGAUGAAGUGAACAAGCUUAUCAGUUCAACCCUGGGUGAAGAGAGAGAGAUAUAAUAUGCAUUUUCUAUGGCCUGGAUAAAGAAUCCCAUACAUGGGAAGACAUUAGUAAAUAAGCUGAAGGCGAGUGGUGACCUCACCAAGGAUGUAGAGCUAAGGGUGUGUUCUUAGCCAUUGGUUAGAGUGAGAGGCUAUAGGGGCUAUUGAUGUCUAUUGGUUGAAAUUUAAGUUUGUUCAGUUGGAUUGCUGAAGUUUAAAGAAUUAGCAAAGGCUUCUAUUGUGGUUCUCAGAUGUCAAAGAGCAUCAAAGCAUGCCUGCCCCAUCGCCGACUAGUCUCAUCUUCUGUUUUAUGGCUGUGAUUUGCUGAGGAGAUGUUGUAGCUACUUUCAGUCCCAACUGAUGUAUGGUUUUUCCUAUGACAUUCAUGUGCAUUUGUAGUAUGAAAACAUUAAAUAGACCGUUA
Long non-coding RNA from Magnolia sinica, 1756 nucleotides. RefSeq lists it as uncharacterized. NCBI's taxonomy places the organism in Eukaryota, Viridiplantae, Streptophyta, Magnoliopsida, Magnoliales, Magnoliaceae. The transcript has 5 exons. The record is from RefSeq and is a predicted model, not a curated record.